UGUCGUCAGCUCGUGCCGUGAGGUGUUGGGUUCAGUCCCGCAACGAGCGCAACCCUCGCCCUUUGUUGCCAUCGGGUAAAGACCGGGCACUCUAAGGGGACUGCCAGCGACAAGUUGGAGGAAGGAGAGGAUGACGUCAAGUCAUCAUGGCUUUAUGCCUAGGGCCACACACGUGCAACAAUGGCCGGUACAGACGGAGGCAAUGCCGAGAGGCGGAGCAAACCCGAGAAAACCGGUCCCAGUUCGGAUUGAGGUUCUGCAACUACGACCUCAUGAAGUCGGAAUCGCUAGUAAUCGCAUAUCAGAACGAUGCGGUGAAUACGUUCCCGGGCCUUGUACACACCGCCCGUCACACCACGAAAGUUUGUUGUACCCGAAGUCGGUGCCUUAACCUCGCAAGUAGGAGAGAGCCGC
RNAcentral lists this ribosomal RNA (414 nucleotides) under uncultured bacterium. Its description in RNAcentral is "bacterial SSU rRNA". It matches the Rfam family "Bacterial small subunit ribosomal RNA", at positions 1050 to 1456 of the family's 1533-position model. The record is from RNAcentral.